UUUGGCUCUGUGCCUCUGCAUAUUUCUCCAACGCCACAGUGACCAUUUUGGUUCCGGUUUCCAGCCUCAUAUUUUUAUUCACUCUUUACUGUGUUCUCUA
Molecule: ribosomal RNA, 100 nt
Filed under: Pythium pachycaule
Lineage: Eukaryota; Oomycota; Peronosporomycetes; Pythiales; Pythiaceae
Source: RNAcentral